Molecule: ribosomal RNA, 230 nt
Filed under: uncultured bacterium
Lineage: Bacteria
Description: partial 16S ribosomal RNA
Rfam family: Bacterial small subunit ribosomal RNA
Source: RNAcentral
AAAGCGUGCGCAGGCGGUUUUGUAAGACUGUCGUGAAAUCCCGGGGCUCAACCUGGGAAUGGCGAUGGUGACUGCAAGGCUAGAGUUUGGCAGAGGGGGGUAGAAUUCCACGUGUAGCAGUGAAAUGCGUAGAUAUGUGGAGGAACACCGAUGGCGAAGGCAGCCCCCUGGGUCAAAACUGACGCUCAUGCACGAAAGCGUGGGGAGCAAACAGGAUUAGAUACCCUGGU